Molecule: ribosomal RNA, 333 nt
Filed under: Salmonella enterica
Lineage: Bacteria; Pseudomonadati; Pseudomonadota; Gammaproteobacteria; Enterobacterales; Enterobacteriaceae
Description: partial 23S ribosomal RNA
Rfam family: Bacterial large subunit ribosomal RNA
Source: RNAcentral
CCAUAGGUUAAUGAGGCGAACCGGGGGAACUGAAACAUCUAAGUACCCCGAGGAAAAGAAAUCAACCGAGAUUCCCCCAGUAGCGGCGAGCGAACGGGGAGGAGCCCAGAGCCUGAAUCAGCAUGUGUGUUAGUGGAAGCGUCUGGAAAGGCGCGCGAUACAGGGUGACAGCCCCGUACACAAAAGCGCAUGUGCUGUGAGCUCGAUGAGUAGGGCGGGACACGUGGUAUCCUGUCUGAAUAUGGGGGGACCAUCCUCCAAGGCUAAAUACUCCUGACUGACCGAUAGUGAACCAGUACCGUGAGGGAAAGGCGAAAAGAACCCCGGCGAGGG